CAACAGCAGUCAGUCUGGCGUGUGUGAGCUCAUGUACAAGGAAGAGGAGGUUAUCACUCUCCUACAGAGAACUAGAGCAUGGCUGGGAAGUGGGAGUGGGAGAAGAUACAAGAACUUAUUUUAGAAAUAAUAAUAAUUUUUAAAAAAACUGGCGCUUCCUACUGACCACGCCUGCUGGUCCUUCAGAACUUCAGAACACAUUCUUUAGAGGUAGUUUUUUAUGUUUAGGUUUACUCCAGGAACUGAGAUAACAUCUGAAAUGGAAUAAACAUCCUGAAAAUACCCUUUUGGUAAACUGAAUUAAGUGCUACCACAGCUCUCUCAUACUGCUGAGGAUAAUCUGACUCUUGCAGCAGGGAUGAUAAACGCUCUUCCGCCAGCUCCUCCUCCAGCUCCACCCUUCCUGCAAUCGACCUUCUGAAGCUGAAGCUUGCUCGUAUUGCUGUAGUUCAGUACAGUGAAAUGAUUCUAAUCUUUUACUUACUGUAACCUGAGAGAGUCAUGGUGAUAAAAUGAAGUGAAGAUUAUAAAGCAAAAUGGGGACCUGCUUCCCCCGUCACCGAUUGAGUCUGCUUUUCCUUUUCAUAUCAGAGAUCUUCAGCUCUGUUGGUGGAUCUUCAGGUCAGGAGCUGCUCGGUGCUGUAGGCGAGUCUGUUACUUUCCCUACCAGUGUGCCUGUUUCUGGCAAUCUAAUUUAUAAAGGCAACACAGUUGGACAGGUGUUUAAUAAACAGAGUGACACAAAUGUCAGUGAGAAGUUCAUGAAUCGUCUUCACUGGGUGAGUCAGAGUGGGUUCUUCACUCUCUCAGACCUGAGAACAGAUGAUUCAGGACUUUACACAGCGGAGAGCACUAAAGAGCUGAAGGGAAAACAGGAUUAUCAGCUGGAGGUGUACAAGAGAGUUUCAGCUCCUCGGGUGAUGAAGGCAGCCUCCAGUUCUUCAGAGUUCUGUUCAUUACUGUGUUCUGUGAGGAACGUCAGAGGACUGAAGCUGUUUUUGUAUGAAGAUGAUGUUUUAUUAAACAACGCCAGCAGCAGCAACACAUCCAACAUCAUACUCAAUCUUCAUCUGGAAAUAAAAAAGACGGACAAUCGCACCUUCAGCUGUGUGGCUUCCAACCCAGUCAGUAAAGAGUCAACUCCAAUCAACAUCUCACAGUACUGCUCUCUGGACACAGAAGAUGACGUUAGUCCUCCUCGGUCCAGUGUGCCCAUUGCUGUCAUAUGCAGUGUGAUUUCAGUCCUAGCAAUAAUCGUGAUGUUUGUGUGUCUGUGGAAAAGGAAACAAAAGGAAUCCAGGAGGCGUACAGAAGGCAGACUCAUCUGCAACUGAAGGACUGAAUGAAGAAAUACAGUAUUCUGUGGUAAAUCAUAAAAAUCCCACUCAGGCAAAUAUACGAGAACCUGCCUCUGAGGAAGUCUGUCCGCUGACGACCAUUUAUGACCAAAUUAGAAUAGAGAGAACGGCUGACUGCGACAGUAGCAGAACAGAAUAAACCGGAACUGGAGGGUGCUUAUCUUAUUAUAUUGCUUGAAGAAAAAACUUCCACAUAUUUUAUAAAGACACAAACAAAAGGUUGCACUAAUAAAAAAGGGUUUUUAAACUUUUUAACCAAAACAUCAUAUUGUGCUUAUGCUUAUGUUCUUUAUUCAGAUGAAAGGUUUUGAGCUUAACAGGUGGUUUCUGAAUUUUUUUUUACAGUUUAAUGCAGCCGAAAAACCUUUGAGUGAAUGUCUCUGCAUUUAUAAUAUAUAAUAUAAUAUAACAAUAUACUAAUAUAAUAUAAUAUAAGCUUAUUUAUUUAAAUAAAACCCUUCAUCUACUGCAAAAAAGGUGUUUCAGUUAUUGUUUUUUCCAAUGUUCUGCUUUUGUAUGUCAGUAUUCUGCCAGUGUCAACAGACCUGAAUGCGAUCUGUCAUUUAUGGCUCAGUGAGCAGCUGUUCCUUUAUCUGAUGUGGUUGUGAAAGAACAAUGAGGCCCUAAUCAUCAGGAUGCUGCUGUAUUCCAGUUCCUCUUGUGUGGAGUGGGAAUGAGUCCAGGUGGAUCCUGUAAUUCAGUGAGGGGAAUUUUGGGAAGAGAAACGUCGAGUGAACUGACACACAGACAUGCAGCAGAAGCUGAACAUGAAUUAUACUGUAGUUAUAAAGUUGCGUCUGAUUUAUAACCAUGGAACUUUUUCAGGUCAUACUCUGACAGUCUGAUAAAGCCAAUUAUUUAAUAUUUUACCACCAGUUACCUAGAUUUACUGCUAUACAACUUCAUGACCUGAUAACUAAGAUUAUUCAUAAAAACAUUUCAGGUCAAACAUGUCCACUUUCACACCAAUCUUUCAUUUUCAUAAAUUCACCCUGUAAAAAUAUCUAAAGCAACAACCACAAGACCAUCAGAUUUGACUUAUACAGUUUCCACUUGUGGCAAUGGAACAUACUACUUUUCUGUUCUGGACUUUUAAGGUCACUAGUUUCGUUUUCACAUAGCCUCAGCUUUUCUGCAUUUGCAUAUUAAUUUGUAUAACCAGUAUCACCAGGGGAACUUUAUCAUUCGCACAACAAAUUUGUAGUAUAAUAUUUUAGUCCUGUGUAUUUACGUGAAGAAGUUGUUGUGCUGUAAUACAUUUGCUUAAAGUGUUUCCCUUAAAGUCCUGUAGUUAUUCUAAUCUCACUGUAUAUUCACACUCACACGCAACAAAGCAACAGGUGACUUCAUUUUCUACGUAUGUGCCUAACUUCAGUUACAGAGCAACCAAUGAACUGAGAUUUCUAUGCAGAUUAGGUAUGAUGUUGUGCACUAAUAAAUCCAAAUGCUCACAUGAUUCCUCAGACCAGUCCUAUGGUGUGUGUGGUCCAAUAUUUCUUCAGUUCCUCACUCACAACUUUAGUUCCUACCUGCAGUUAGUUCCUGUUUACUGUUUAACAGAAAAAUAGAAAAACUGAAGUUUCAUCUUCUCCUGUCGUAUAUAACCUCUUAUUAAAUAUGUACAGCGACAUUAUGAAGGAAAAUAAAGCUCAGGAGGAAGUAGCAGAGAUGGUUGGGGUCUCUAGUGAGGGUAUGUAGUUAUGUCAGUGAGCUUAUUUUGCUAAUCUAAUAAGCACAAAGCUGAUCAUUUAACGUAAAUCAAACAAUUAAUUCUCACUCUGAUUACUGCAUUAAUUAGUUUGUGUUUAAGUAAUAUAUAGCUACUGUAUACAUAGUGAUAUAUAGCUAUGUAUCUCAUUAUAACUAAAAAAACUAAAAAAAAAAAAAAAAAAACUGGACAAGCCACACCCAUUAGCAACAGCAGCGGUGAGAAUACACACUGACUGUCCACUAGACACUGACUACAAGCAACAACUCAAUCACUUCCUAGUGGGAACUCAGGGUUAAACUUUUUCCAAAUAAGAACAUGUUAAUUGUGCUGAAGCAGACACUAUAUUACACUAUAAU
RNA transcript from Pangasianodon hypophthalmus (striped catfish), 3425 nucleotides. It is a transcript of the gene named SLAM family member 7-like, with no coding region annotated. NCBI's taxonomy places the organism in Eukaryota, Metazoa, Chordata, Actinopteri, Siluriformes, Pangasiidae. The transcript has 6 exons. The record is from RefSeq and is a predicted model, not a curated record.